CAGUCGCCGCGGUAAUACGGAGGGGGCUAGCGUUGUUCGGAAUUACUGGGCGUAAAGCGCACGUAGGCGGCUUGGUAAGUUAGAGGUGAAAGCCUGGAGCUCAACUCCAGAAUUGCCUUUAAGACUGCCGAGCUAGUAGGUGAGAGAGGUAAGUGGAAUUCCGAGUGUAGAGGUGAAAUUCGUAGAUAUUCGGAAGAACACCAGUGGCGAAGGCGGCUCACUGGACGACUGUUGACGCUGAGGUGCGAAAGCGUGGGGAGCAAACAGGAUUAGAUACCCCAGUAGUCCCUGUCUCUUAUAC
Molecule: ribosomal RNA, 301 nt
Filed under: uncultured bacterium
Lineage: Bacteria
Description: partial 16S ribosomal RNA
Rfam family: Bacterial small subunit ribosomal RNA
Source: RNAcentral